RNAcentral lists this long non-coding RNA (721 nucleotides) under Mus musculus (house mouse). RNAcentral describes it as "predicted gene, 47144". The record is from RNAcentral. Lineage: Eukaryota; Metazoa; Chordata; Mammalia; Rodentia; Muridae.
UGAUGCCCCCAUUCUGGAAUACAGGGGGUAGCAAGUGCUGAGCAAGGGCAGGGUAGCCACAGAAGGACUCUGCAGACCUCCAGUGCAACCAGCUGCAGAGUUUCAGAGGUGACAGCACCAAAGCUGAGACUGCGGUAAAGCUAUCCCACACAGACCGGGAAGGGAUGUACUGUCCCCUCAGAGUCAAGCCAGGCAAGAAAGUAAGUAAGAUUCCAGGGACAGUUCUGAAGCAGGUCCCUCUCCAGUGCACGUGCUUUGCUGGGUUCCUGUGAGAGUAGGAUUGGUGCAUCAAGUCGGACUUUGAAACAUACGAGUCACCAUAUGGGUGAAGCAACUGUUUGGAGAGAGGGCUACAGGAAGGAAGUUAGGUCCCUGGCGGACCUGGAAGAUGCUGUGUCUUUGAAGGGGAUAGUGGGAUACCAGCACCCCCACUCCUCUGUUUCCAGGCCAGUGUAAGAAAAGGAGAGAUGACAGAGAAUGAAGAUCAAGAAGAGAGCGGAUAGCCAGAAAAGUGGCAAGAGAUUCCAGCGUGUUGGAGACCGCUGCAUCAUCUGGAGAAGUGGCACCUACGUGUAUUUUAAAAGAUGAUGCUUAGCCAGGCAUGGUGGCCCAGGUCUGUGAUCCCAGUACACAUGAGGCCAAAUAAGGCGAGAGGAUCAUUACAAGUUCAAGCUCAGCCUAGGCUAUGCAUAGUAAGUUCUGGGCUCGCCUGAGCUAUGCA